CCUCUCAUCAGAGGAUAUCUAACCAGGUACACCUCUCAUCAGAGGGAUAUCUAACCAGGUACACCUCUCAUCAGAGGGAUAUCUAACCAGGUACACCUCCUCAUCAGAGGGAUAUCUAACCAGGUACGCCUCUGAUCAGAGGGAUAUCUAACCAGGUACACCUCUCAUCAGAGGGAUAUCUAACCAGGUACACCUCUCAUCAGAGG
Molecule: non-coding RNA, 206 nt
Organism: Salvelinus sp. IW2-2015
Lineage: Eukaryota; Metazoa; Chordata; Actinopteri; Salmoniformes; Salmonidae
Source: RefSeq, a predicted model, not a curated record